UUGUUAAAGAUCAGCAACGGCAGAUAAACAAUGCAUGAUGCAAUCUGCUCACUAAAAAGAUUACACCAAUACAUCCCAUGCAUGUAUUUCUACCUAUCACCUAUGUAACCUUUGUCAUGCUCUUCAGAGAGUCAUUGACAGGAAAAGGAAUUACCGGUAAGUUGACAGGACUUUACACACUGUUUCUGGUAGCAGCUUAUGAUUGAAUUGAUGGUAGAAGACAUGGCCCACUUAAUCAAAGAUAAUCUGUAUAGAGUGGCACCUUAACCACCACUGGUGAAAUAGAAGAUGACUAGUGGAUGGUCAUCACUUUGCAGCUCACUUUCACUUUCUGCAGCCCAUCUCUUCUCAUCCACAAUCAUUGUCUUUGGAGGAAUGGUGACAGUGCAGUCCUCAUGGCUGGGCAGGUCUACUGCAUGUUGACAGCUGAUACUUGUUCUCUAUUUACUCCGAGAGGCCUACUACACAUUGUACCUCAGUUAUGACUGUACUCGUGCAGGCUUCUAUGAUGUUAAUUUCCUUUACCUGCACUGCGUUAAACUUGGUCAAUUCUGUUACUGUCAAACACCAACAGAUGAAAAUAAGAUUUAGCUGAUCCUGCCAACAUUGUGACAUAAGAGGUCCAAUAUCUCACUCUGCAGUCAAACAUCAUUUUUUUUUAUGAACGCUCAGUAAAACAUUGGAAAUGUUAGACUUUUUUAGUAUUGAUUUAUAUAGUUACAUAUUUUUAAAGUAAUAACAAUUCUUUUUAUUGAUGUAUGUUUAAGUAUGCAAAAAUGAACAUUGAUGAUAUUAAAGGUGAGGUAUUUAUUUGUGAUUUCUCUUCUGAAUAAAAUUUUAUAUCAAUAA
This is a long non-coding RNA of Saccostrea echinata, 849 nucleotides long. RefSeq lists it as uncharacterized. NCBI's taxonomy places the organism in Eukaryota, Metazoa, Mollusca, Bivalvia, Ostreida, Ostreidae. The transcript is spliced from 4 exons. The record is from RefSeq and is a predicted model, not a curated record.